AUAAAAAAAAAAUACGGAAAAGAAUUAAGAUGUAAAAAGUGUGAGAAACCCAUUUUCUCUCCUCCUCCCGUAUCCUCUCUCCUCCUCGUCUUUUGAGCCGCAACAGGAGCCCAUUAAACAGCAAGCCGACGACUGCCGAGUGCCGGCGCAAGAGCUCUGUCGUCCACGUGUCACCAAAGGCUCUCAAACUACACAUCCAGAAUGCUCUUGCCGUCCUUUAUCCAAUCCCCAAGUUGGUUUCUAUAAAUUCGUAGGCGAUUUCCUCAACUUCAAAUUUAAGAAACGGUGACCCAGGGUUUCCGGCCAACUUCCGGCCAUAUCGCCGGAAUUGGAGCUCGACCCAAGUGGUAGAAAUGAUCCUCUUCUCGUGGGCUGUUCUCCAAUUUUAUUUUCGCCCACGGGUCACCAACGGCCGUCAAAUUACAUAUCCAGACUCCUCUUUCCAUCCUCUUUCCAACUCCCAAGUUAGUUUCUACAGAUCCGUAGCCAAAUUUCCUCAAUUUCAUAUCAAAGAAACGGUCACCGCGGUUUUCCGGCCAAUAUUCUCGACCCAAGAGGUAUAAAUGAUCCUGUCCCGGUGGGCUGUCCUCCAAUAGUGGCAUUGAGGUCCCCCUUCCAUUCAGCCACUCCCAACGCGGUGCGUACUUGCAAUCGGGGAUGUGUGGCAAUAAGCUUUGGAGCUAAUAAGCUUAAGUUUUGCACGUCAUCAAACUCCAAUAACUCCAAAGACGGCAACUUCAAAGUAUAAGCUUCACCACAAAAAUACUUGAGUUUUGGCAGACUUUCAAGCUUGAUGGACUUCACUUUAGGUAAUGUAAUUGUUUCAUCAGUUUCUUCUUCUGCGGCAACGAUUUCUUCCAUCUUCUCACAGUUAUGAACUUCUAUGUCCUCUAUACUCACGAGAAGUUUGACUAUGGACGAUGAAAACAAGUAUUUCAACUGGUUGCAAAAACCAACCUCCAGCGAUUUCAAGUUUCCGAAGCUGCUUCCUGUCAACAUCGGUUGUGAACUACCCAUCUCCCAAACACGCGUUAAACCUGGCAAUCUAUCUAACCGCAAGGAACUCAAUUUAUUGAAUGCUUCAAUGGAGUGACUACUUUCUUCAUGCUUCGGUCCCUUGAGUUGGAAAAUCACUUCCAUCGAAUUACAGUCACUUACAGUUAAUUGGACGUGGCAAUAUUUCAAUGGGGCGGUGGGCGUUUGGUCUUGAAUAUGGUGCGCAUCCACAUCCAGCAGGGCACCAAUUUGAUGAACGUGUUGGAGAAGUGCUGAAAUCAUGACUUGUUGAAUCCUUCUUCAAGUUAUUCUCCAACUUCUUUCUUUGUGGAAUUACAACACCCAAUGUCUUCAAAUUUUCACAUCUUUUCACGUGCAUUUUUUUUGUGGAUGACCGUAGAAAUGUAAAUCCCUCUGGACAAAGACUUGUGAGACGAGGCAGGUCUUCUAGUUCAAAUGUGUUCAGUUUCGGAAACAAAAUCAUGUAUUUUGUCGCCUCUUCUUCAAUUUCCUCUGGGAUUCUGACUA
This is a non-coding RNA of Malus domestica (apple), 1524 nucleotides long. The record is from RefSeq and is a predicted model, not a curated record. NCBI's taxonomy places the organism in Eukaryota, Viridiplantae, Streptophyta, Magnoliopsida, Rosales, Rosaceae.